GGGUUGUGAGGUUAAGCGACUAAGCGUACACGGUGGAUGCCCUGGCAGUCAGAGGCGAUGAAGGACGUGCUAAUCUGCGAUAAGCGUCGGUGAGGUGAUAUGAACCGUUAUAACCGGCGAUUUCCGAAUGGGGAAACCCAGUGUGUUUCGACACACUAUCAUUAACUGAAUCCAUAGGUUAAUGAGGCGAACCGGGGGAACUGAAACAUCUAAGUACCCCGAGGAAAAGAAAUCAACCGAGAUUCCCCCAGUAGCGGCGAGCGAACGGGGAGGAGCCCAGAGCCUGAAUCAGUGUGUGUGUUAGUGGAAGCGUCUGGAAAGGCGCGCGAUACAGGGUGACAGCCCCGUACACAAAAAUGCACAUAUUGUGAGCUCGAUGAGUAGGGCGGGACACGUGGUAUCCUGUCUGAAUAUGGGGGGACCAUCCUCCAAGGCUAAAUACUCCUGACUGACCGAUAGUGAACCAGUACCGUGAGGGAAAGGCGAAAAGAACCCCGGCGAGGGGAGUGAAAAAGAACCUGAAACCGUGUACGUACAAGCAGUGGGAGCCUCUUAAUGGGGUGACUGCGUACCUUUUGUAUAAUGGGUCAGCGACUUAUAUUCUGUAGCAAGGUUAACCGAAUAGGGGAGCCGAAGGGAAACCGAGUCUUAACUGGGCGUUAAGUUGCAGGGUAUAGACCCGAAACCCGGUGAUCUAGCCAUGGGCAGGUUGAAGGUUGGGUAACACUAACUGGAGGACCGAACCGACUAAUGUUGAAAAAUUAGCGGAUGACUUGUGGCUGGGGGUGAAAGGCCAAUCAAACCGGGAGAUAGCUGGUUCUCCCCGAAAGCUAUUUAGGUAGCGCCUCGUGAAUUCAUCUCCGGGGGUAGAGCACUGUUUCGGCAAGGGGGUCAUCCCGACUUACCAACCCGAUGCAAACUGCGAAUACCGGAGAAUGUUAUCACGGGAGACACACGGCGGGUGCUAACGUCCGUCGUGAAGAGGGAAACAACCCAGACCGCCAGCUAAGGUC
This 1013-nucleotide ribosomal RNA is filed under the name Escherichia coli. Its description in RNAcentral is "partial 23S ribosomal RNA". It matches the Rfam family "Bacterial large subunit ribosomal RNA", at positions 1 to 1046 of the family's 2925-position model. The record is from RNAcentral. Lineage: Bacteria; Pseudomonadati; Pseudomonadota; Gammaproteobacteria; Enterobacterales; Enterobacteriaceae.